RNAcentral lists this small RNA (193 nucleotides) under Streptomyces sp. Its description in RNAcentral is "c-di-AMP sequence". It matches the Rfam family "c-di-AMP riboswitch aptamer (ydaO/yuaA leader)". From Rfam's summary of the family: This family represents a conserved RNA structure found upstream of the ydaO and yuaA genes in Bacillus subtilis and related genes in other bacteria. The ydaO/yuaA element is thought to act as a genetic "off" switch for the ydaO and yuaA genes in its native state. Lineage: Bacteria; Bacillati; Actinomycetota; Actinomycetes; Kitasatosporales; Streptomycetaceae. The record is from RNAcentral.
CCGGACGGACCGCCGAAUCCUGCCGCCGCCCGGAAUUCGUAUCGUCAAGCAACGCGUGGCAGGAGCGGGGGACCCAGGUAGUACGCCGGUCCGGAAACUCCGGAACGGCUUGGGGUGAAGUCGCGCGACAAUCGCGACCGGGCAUCUCCCGCCCGAACCCGACAGCUCACCUCGCAGGCGCCGGAGAGGAAUU